GCAAAACAAAAAUUUAUAAAAUAAUUUGUGCUUUUUUUUUUUUAAAUCAAAGAUGAUGUCUGGAUUAAUGGCUACAAUGAGCACGUUUUGUAAUGCACAGCUUUUCGAAGCGAGGUUUGAAGCAGGACACAGCAACUCUCGGCUCCUGCUCAAUGUGUAGCCGGGACCUGUAUUAUGAUACUGAAGUAGCAGUCACAAAGCGGCAGGAUUGUUGGCAAUAUUCGGCACGU
Molecule: long non-coding RNA, 230 nt
Organism: Hippocampus zosterae (dwarf seahorse)
Lineage: Eukaryota; Metazoa; Chordata; Actinopteri; Syngnathiformes; Syngnathidae
Exons: 2
Source: RefSeq, a predicted model, not a curated record